RNAcentral lists this ribosomal RNA (253 nucleotides) under uncultured bacterium. RNAcentral's name for it is "partial 16S ribosomal RNA". It matches the Rfam family "Bacterial small subunit ribosomal RNA", at positions 524 to 776 of the family's 1533-position model. The record is from RNAcentral.
GACGAAGGAUGCAAGCGUUAUCCGGAUUCAUUGGGGUUAAAGGGAGCGUAGGUGGCCAAAUAAGUCAGUGGUGAAAUCUCUGGGCUUAACCCAGAAAUUGCCAUUGAUACUGUAUGGCUUGAGUGUAGUUGCCGUUGGCGGAAUAUGACAUGUAGUGGUGAAAUACAUAGAGAUGUCAUAGAACACCGAUUGCGAAGGCAGCUGACGAAACUAUAACUGACACUGAGGCUCGAAAGUGCGGGGAUCAAACAGG